ACCAGGCGUCGAGCGGCGGACGGGUGAGUAAUACUUAGGAAUCUACCUAGUAGUGGGGGAUAGCACGGGGAAACUCGUAUUAAUACCGCAUACGACCUACGGGAGAAAGGGGGCAGUUUACUGCUCUCGCUAUUAGAUGAGCCUAAGUCGGAUUAGCUAGAUGGUGGGGUAAAGGCCUACCAUGGCGACGAUCUGUAGCUGGUCUGAGAGGAUGAUCAGCCACACCGGGACUGAGACACGGCCCGGACUCCUACGGGAGGCAGCAGUGGGGAAUAUUGGACAAUGGGGGAAACCCUGAUCCAGCCAUGCCGCGUGUGUGAAGAAGGCCUUUUGGUUGUAAAGCACUUUAAGCAGUGAAGAAGACUCUUCGGUUAAUACCCGGAGACGAUGACAUUAGCUGCAGAAUAAGCACCGGCUAACUCUGUGCCAGCAGCCGCGGUAAUACAGAGGGUGCAAGCGUUAAUCGGAAUUACUGGGCGUAAAGCGAGCGUAGGUGGCUUGAUAAGUCAGAUGUGAAAUCCCCGGGCUUAACCUGGGAACUGCAUCUGAAACUGUUAGGCUAGAGUAGGUGAGAGGGAAGUAGAAUUUCGGGUGUAGCGGUGAAAUGCGUAGAGAUCUGAAGGAAUACCGAUGGCGAAGGCAGCUUCCUG
RNAcentral lists this ribosomal RNA (650 nucleotides) under uncultured marine bacterium. RNAcentral describes it as "bacterial SSU rRNA". It matches the Rfam family "Bacterial small subunit ribosomal RNA", at positions 83 to 731 of the family's 1533-position model. The record is from RNAcentral.